Molecule: ribosomal RNA, 1684 nt
Filed under: Channa marulius (great snakehead)
Lineage: Eukaryota; Metazoa; Chordata; Actinopteri; Anabantiformes; Channidae
Description: 16S ribosomal RNA
Rfam family: Bacterial large subunit ribosomal RNA (bases 96-1578)
Source: RNAcentral
CCAAACAGCUAGCCCGCCCCCAUAAACCCAAAACACCACCAUAAAUAACCCCAAACACACAACAACAAAUCCAACCAAAUCAUUUUACCCCCUUAGUACGGGAGACGGAAAAGGACUUAGGAGCUAUAGAUAAAGUACCGCAAGGGAACGCUGAAAGAGAAAUGAAACAACCCAGUAAAGUAAUAAAAAGCAGAGAUUAAAACUCGUACCUUUUGCAUCAUGAUUUAGCCAGAAAACCCAAGCAAAGAGCACUUUAGUUUGAUACCCCGAAACUAAGUGAGCUACUCCAAGACAGCCUAUUUUAGGGCCAACCCGUCUCUGUGGCAAAAGAGUGGGGAAGAGCUUUGAGUAGAGGUGACAGACCUACCGAACUUAGUAAUAGCUGGUGGCCUAGGAACUGAAUUUAAGUUCAGCCUUUUAACUUCUCCACUCAUCCCGUCCUUAACCCACUUGAUACUAAAGAAGUCAAAAGAGUUAGUCAAAGGGGGUACAGCCCCUUUGAACCAAGAUACAACUUUUCCAGCUGGGUAAAGAUCAAAUUCACCAAAGGAAUAAAUGUCUUAGUGGGCCUAAAAGCAGCCACCCAAACAGAAAGCGUUAAAGCUCAGACAUAACAAUAGCCCUUCCUACAAUCCUUAUAGCCCAAUCUUAACCCCCUUCCACCUACUAGGCUGUUUCAUGCAAACAUGAAAACACUACUGCUAAUAUGAGUAAUAAGAGAGAGCCGAUCUCUCUCCUCGCACGCACAUACAUCGGAACGGACCCUCCACCGAACAUUACCGGCCCCAAACAAAGAGGGAAAUGAACAACAAAUAAACAGCCAGAAAAACCCCCAAAAAACAACCGUUAAGCCCACACCGGCGUGCCAAUGAGGAAAGACCUAAAGAAAAAGAAGGAACUCGGCAAACACCAAGCCUCGCCUGUUUACCAAAAACAUCGCCUCUUGUAUACCAAAUAUAGGAGGUCCCGCCUGCCCAGUGACAUCAAGUUUAACGGCCGCGGUAUUUUGACCGUGCAAAGGUAGCGCAAUCACUUGUCUUUUAAAUGAAGACCCGUAUGAAUGGCACAACGAGGGCCUAACUGUCUCCUUUUUCAAGUCAAUGAAAUUGAUCUCCCCGUGCAGAAGCGGGGAUAAUAACAUAAGACGAGAAGACCCUAUGGAGCUUUAGACACUAAAGCAGACCUUGUUAAACAACUCUAAACAAAGAACUAAACCAAAAGGACCCUGCCUGCAUGUCUUUGGUUGGGGCGACCGCGGGGAACACAAAACCCCCAUGUGGAACGGGAGAACUUCUCCUACAACCAAGAGCUACAGCUCUAAGCAAUAGAAUUUCUAACCAAAAUGAUCCGGCAAUGCCGAUCAACGGACCGAGUUACCCUAGGGAUAACAGCGCAAUCCCCUUCUAGGGUCCAUAUCGACAAGGGGGUUUACGACCUCGAUGUUGGAUCAGGACAUCCUAAUGGUGCAGCCGCUAUUAAGGGUUCGUUUGUUCAACGAUUAAAGUCCUACGUGAUCUGAGUUCAGACCGGAGUAAUCCAGGUCAGUUUCUAUCUAUGAAAUGUUUCUUUCUAGUACGAAAGGACCGAAAAAAAGAGGCCCAUGCUUAAAGCACGCCUCCUCCUUACCUAAUGAGGUCAACUAAAUUAGGCAAAAGGACAUACCCCUAACGCCUAAAAUAAAGGC